Scleropages formosus (Asian bonytongue) is the source of this 148-nucleotide long non-coding RNA. RefSeq lists it as uncharacterized. The record is from RefSeq and is a predicted model, not a curated record. Lineage: Eukaryota; Metazoa; Chordata; Actinopteri; Osteoglossiformes; Osteoglossidae. The transcript has 3 exons.
GUGUUCCCGGCCAUCCCGUGGGUAGCCUUCUCCUCAGUUCCAGGUCUGAGUGCCCCCCCAGACAUCCUGCUGGACCAGCGCCCUUCCAAGCAGGCUGACUGCCCCGACGCCGGACCCCCUCGCAGUCCCCCGGAGCAGACCCACCACU